AUGGCCCGUGCCCGAAUCUGCAAUGAGUGCUGCCCACUGCUCUACGGGUUGGUCGAGCUGCAAGCGGCCGCGUGCCUCUGCGACGUCCUCGGCGGUGUCCUCGGACUCCGCCUCGACGUCGUCCUCCUCCUCAACCAGUGCAGCAUUCCCUGCGAAUCCACCUACACCUGCCCGCGCUGA
This 180-nucleotide ribosomal RNA is filed under the name Triticum aestivum (bread wheat). Its description in RNAcentral is "partial small subunit ribosomal RNA". Lineage: Eukaryota; Viridiplantae; Streptophyta; Magnoliopsida; Poales; Poaceae. The record is from RNAcentral.